Molecule: ribosomal RNA, 258 nt
Filed under: uncultured Glomus
Lineage: Eukaryota; Fungi; Glomeromycota; Glomeromycetes; Glomerales; Glomeraceae
Description: partial 18S ribosomal RNA
Rfam family: Eukaryotic small subunit ribosomal RNA
Source: RNAcentral
AAGCUCGUAGUUGAAUUUCGGGGUUAGUAGGUUGGUCAUGCCUCCGGUAUGUACUGGUCUCACUGAUUCCUCCUUCCUGAUGAACCGUAAUGCCAUUAAUUUGGUGUUGCGGGAAAUUUGGACUGUUACUUUGAAAAAAUUAGAGUGUUUAAAGCAAGCUAACGCUUGAAUACAUUAGCAUGGAAUAAUGAAAUAGGACGUUCGAUCCUAUUUUGUUGGUUUCUAGGAUUGACGUAAUGAUUAAUAGGGAUAGUUGGG